Molecule: transfer RNA, 84 nt
Filed under: Gemmobacter sp.
Lineage: Bacteria; Pseudomonadati; Pseudomonadota; Alphaproteobacteria; Rhodobacterales; Paracoccaceae
Description: tRNA-Val
Rfam family: tRNA
About the family: Transfer RNA (tRNA) molecules are approximately 80 nucleotides in length. Their secondary structure includes four short double-helical elements and three loops (D, anti-codon, and T loops).
Source: RNAcentral
GGGCUGUUAGCUCAGUUGGUAGAGCNNUAGAGCGUCUCGUUUACACCGAGAAUGUCGGCGGUUCGAGUCCGUCACGGCCCACCA